Molecule: ribosomal RNA, 461 nt
Filed under: uncultured bacterium
Lineage: Bacteria
Description: bacterial SSU rRNA
Rfam family: Bacterial small subunit ribosomal RNA
Source: RNAcentral
CAUGGCUCAGAACGAACGCUGGCGGCGUGCUUAACACAUGCAAGUCGAACGCGAAAGGGGCUUCGGUCCUGAGUAGAGUGGCGCACGGGUGAGUAACGCGUAAGUGAUCUACCCCUGUAUCUGGAAUAACUAUGGGAAACUGUAGCUAAUACCGGAUACGUUCAUGUGAUUGCGAUCAUGUGAAGAAAGAUGGCCUCUGACUUAAGCUAUCGUACAGGGAGGAGCUUGCGUACCAUUAGCUAGUUGGCAGGGUAAUGGCCUACCAAGGCGACGAUGGUUAGCGGGUCUGAGAGGAUGAUCCGCCACACUGGAACUGAAACACGGACCAGACUCCUACGGGAGGCAGCAGUGAGGAAUAUUGCGCAAUGGGGGCAACCCUGACGCAGCGACGCCGCGUGGAUGAUGAAGGCCUUCGGGUCGUAAAAUCCUGUCGGAUGGGAAGAAGUGUAAUGUGGUUAAUA